Molecule: small RNA, 89 nt
Filed under: Archaeoglobus fulgidus
Lineage: Archaea; Methanobacteriati; Methanobacteriota; Archaeoglobi; Archaeoglobales; Archaeoglobaceae
Source: RNAcentral
GCGACGAUAAGGUGCUCGUCGGACUCGCAACCAAAAUGCUUCAGGACAUGAGCUACGGUUUCGACGAUGAUGAGAGCUACGUUAGCUGA